UGCAAGUGGAACGCAUGAUUGAUACCGGAGCUUGCUCCACCAUUAAUCAUGAGUCGCGAACGGGUGAGUAACGCGUAGGUAACCUACCUCAUAGCGGGGGAUAACUAUUGGAAACGAUAGCUAAUACCGCAUAACAGUAUUUAUCACAUGGUAAAUGCUUGAAAGGAGCAAUUGCUUCACUAUGAGAUGGACCUGCGUUGUAUUAGCUAGUUGGUGGGGUAACGGCUCACCAAGGCAUCGAUACAUAGCCGACCUGAGAGGGUGAUCGGCCACACUGGGACUGAGACACGGCCCAGACUCCUACGGGAGGCAGCAGUAGGGAAUCUUCGGCAAUGGGGGGAACCCUGACCGAGCAACGCCGCGUGAGUGAAGAAGGUUUUCGGAUCGUAAAGCUCUGUUGUAAGAGAAGAACGUGUGUGAGAGUGGAAAAUUCACACAGUGACGGUAACUUACCAGAAAGGGACGGCUAACUACGUGCCAGCAGCCGCGGUAAUACGUAGGUCCCGAGCGUUGUCCGGAUUUAUUGGGCGUAAAGCGAGCGCAGGCGGUUUGAUAAGUCUGAAGUAAAAGGCUGUGGCUUAACCAUAGUAUGCUUUGGAAACUGUCAAACUUGAGUGCAGAAGGGGAGAGUGGAAUUCCAUGUGUAGCGGUGAAAUGCGUAGAUAUAUGGAGGAACACCGGUGGCGAAAGCGGCUCUCUGGUCUGUAACUGACGCUGAGGCUCGAAAGCGUGGGGAGCGAACAGGAUUAGAUACCCUGGUAGUCCACGCCGUAAACGAUGAGUGCUAGGUGUUGGGUCCUUUCCGGGACUCAGUGCCGCAGCUAACGCAUUAAGCACUCCGCCUGGGGAGUACGACCGCAAGGUUGAAACUCAAAGGAAUUGACGGGGGCCCGCACAAGCGGUGGAGCAUGUGGUUUAAUUCGAAGCAACGCGAAGAACCUUACCAGGUCUUGACAUCCCAGUGACCGUCCUAGAGAUAGGAUUUUUCUUCGGAACACUGGAGACAGGUGGUGCAUGGUUGUCGUCAGCUCGUGUCGUGAGAUGUUGGGUUAAGUCCCGCAACGAGCGCAACCCCUAUUGUUAGUUGCCAUCAUUCAGUUGGGCACUCUAGCGAGACUGCCGGUAAUAAACCGGAGGAAGGUGGGGAUGACGUCAAAUCAUCAUGCCCCUUAUGACCUGGGCUACACACGUGCUACAAUGGCUGGUACAACGAGUCGCAAGUCGGUGACGACAAGCUAAUCUCUUAAAGCCAGUCUCAGUUCGGAUUGUAGGCUGCAACUCGCCUACAUGAAGUCGGAAUCGCUAGUAAUCGCGGAUCAGCACGCCGCGGUGAAUACGUUCCCGGGCCUUGUACACACCGCCCGUCACACCACGAGAGUUUGUAACACCCGAAGUCGGUGAGGUAACCAUUUGGAGCCAGCCGCCUAAGGUGGGAUAGAUGAUUGGGGUGAAGU
Molecule: ribosomal RNA, 1454 nt
Filed under: Streptococcus parasuis
Lineage: Bacteria; Bacillati; Bacillota; Bacilli; Lactobacillales; Streptococcaceae
Description: bacterial SSU rRNA
Rfam family: Bacterial small subunit ribosomal RNA
Source: RNAcentral